Molecule: unclassified non-coding RNA, 201 nt
Filed under: Hevea brasiliensis (rubber tree)
Lineage: Eukaryota; Viridiplantae; Streptophyta; Magnoliopsida; Malpighiales; Euphorbiaceae
Source: RNAcentral
AAAAGGAAGACCUCGCCCGGUUCAUCCUCGACGUACGCGAGGCGCGCGGCAUCCCCGUCGUACUCGUCGAGCACGAUAUGGGUGUGGUCAUGGACCUCGCGGACCGCAUCUACGUACUAGAUUUCGGGAAAAUGAUCGCGACCGGAACGCCCGCCCAGAUUCAGCGGGACCCGCUGGUCAUGAAAGCUUACCUGGGCGAAA